CCUACGGGAGGCAGCAGUGGGGAAUAUUGCACAAUGGGGGAAACCCUGAUGCAGCGACGCCGCGUGAGCGAUGAAGUAUUUCGGUAUGUAAAGCUCUAUCAGCAGGGAAGAAAAUGACGGUACCUGACUAAGAAGCCCCGGCUAACUACGUGCCAGCAGCCGCGGUAAUCCGUGGGGGGCAAGCGUUAUCCGGAUUUAUUGGGUUUAAAGGUGUCGCAGGCGGAGGUGCAAGUCAGCGGUCAAAUUGCGGGGCUCAACCCCGUACUGCCGUUGACACUGCAUCCCUUGAGUGCGCGAGAAGAAUGCGGAAUGCGUGGUGUAGCGGUGAAAUGCAUAGAUAUCACGCAGAACUCCGAUUGCGAAGGCAGCAUACCGGCGCGCAACUGACGCUCAUGCACGAAAGCGUGGGUAUCGAACAGGAUUAGAUACCCCGGUAGUC
RNAcentral lists this ribosomal RNA (439 nucleotides) under uncultured bacterium. RNAcentral describes it as "partial 16S ribosomal RNA". It matches the Rfam family "Bacterial small subunit ribosomal RNA", at positions 338 to 795 of the family's 1533-position model. The record is from RNAcentral.